Long non-coding RNA from Balaenoptera acutorostrata (minke whale), 1138 nucleotides. RefSeq lists it as uncharacterized. Lineage: Eukaryota; Metazoa; Chordata; Mammalia; Artiodactyla; Balaenopteridae. The transcript is spliced from 2 exons. The record is from RefSeq and is a predicted model, not a curated record.
AAGCAACCUAAGUGUCCAUCGACAGAUGAAUGGAUAAAGAAGAUGUGGCACACAUAUACAAUGGAAUAUUACUCAGCCAUAAAAAGAAACGAAAUUGAGUUAUCUGUAGUGAGGUGGAUGGACCUAGAGACUGUCAUAGAGAGUGAAGCAAUGCCCCUGACUCUGGUUCUAAAUCCACUCGGCUGCCUUUUUGCUGUUUCACCUCCUGGAAGUAGAUGCACAAGUACAAGAUAACAAUGCCCUGGGACUUAAGGUGUCUUCUUACCUUGCUGUAGGGAGCUGGGUGAAGUGGAGAUGAUUGGCAGAGCAAGAAUUGGGGGCAGGCUGAGGAGGAGGUGGUACCAGGCUAGGGCAGGGUAGGAGUUAUGGGGUGGAGGAUGGAACAAUAAUGAAGAGUCAGGGUCAUCUGAUUUAGAGGAGUCUUUUCUUCCUGCUCUUGGAACUUUGUCUCCUUAGUGCCUCAGGGUCCUUCCCCCAAGCUUCCCAGUUGUUUCCCUGCUCUCCUUUGACAUUCCUUUUCCCCUGUCCUGCCCACCCCCAAGACAAGAUUCCUUCAAGAUAAACUGAGCUUUAAUAGAUCAGCAAGUCCCAGACCCUCAGCUAGUAAUGGCUUUGGAGAUCCUGGAGGACUCACCAGCAUCACAUCUGCUAUCUCCUAGGCUCCAGUAUAUGGUGUUGGCAGGGAGUAGGUGACUCAGUAGGUCUAGAUGCUUGGGUUACGAAGGGGGUCUUAUAAUGGCUUCUAAAAAGCCUCCCACAGUGCUCUGCCAUCUCUCCUCCUCUUUCCGUGUUGGACUGCAGUGGUGCACAUGGCAAGGGAGAAAAUGUUUCCUGCAAGCCAUUCCCCAUGACCACCCCCAUAUCACUGUUCACUCUGUUGUCAUGACCUUAAAGUGCUCCAAGAAAAUAUAGACUUAUUUUCCAGUCUUAGUGGAGAUGUGAACCACCUCACUUAUCUCCAACAAUUUUCUUGUAUGCCCCUUGAACACCAUCCACUUCUUGGUACCAAGCAACUUUCAGAUCCCAUCUCCUUUUCCCAGUGUCCACCAAGAGCUCAGUUUUGCUUUCUAGUCUGAAAUUACUGCCUUCAGAAUAUCAAGACUUCAGUUAAUAAACUUGAAAUAGUCAUCUCAACAGA